RNAcentral lists this ribosomal RNA (293 nucleotides) under uncultured bacterium. Its description in RNAcentral is "partial 16S ribosomal RNA". It matches the Rfam family "Archaeal small subunit ribosomal RNA", at positions 455 to 747 of the family's 1478-position model. The record is from RNAcentral.
GUGCCAGCGGCCGCGGUAAUACCGGCAGCCCGAGUGAUGGCCGAUCUUAUUGGGCCUAAAGCGUCCGUAGCUGGCUACGCAAGUCCGUCGGGAAAUCCACUCGCCCAACGAGUGGGCGUCCGACGGAAACUGCAUAGCUUGGGACCGGAAGGCUCGAAGGGUACGUGCGGGGUAGGAGUGAAAUCCCAUAAUCCCGCACGGACCACCGAUGGCGAAAGCACUUCGAGAAAACGGAUCCGACAGUGAGGGACGAAAGCUAAGAUCGCGAACCGGAUUAGAUACCCGGGUAGUCC